AUCAACACUUCCCCCAUUUGCAAAAGAUUGUCCGAAUUCCCCAAUUGAACCUAAGACUAAAACAAUCUUGUCUCUCAUCUCCCCCACCAAACAACGCCACCCUUGAGCGAAUCAGCCAUGGUUGCCGGCGAUAUAGCUCCAAUCACCACCAGAAAUUGGUCAUGCAAUCAUCACCCCUUCCUGCACCCUAUUCCAUCACCAUUUUUCCCAAAACCCCUGCCAAAUCGGACUGUUUUCAAAUCUGAGAUUGAAGGAGAAGAAAGUCUCUCGAGCCCUCAAGUCCUGAUGAAUGGCUGGGUUCGAAACGAGUAUAGCUCGUUUGCUCUCAAAAGGAACACACGACUAAUACUAGUUUCGAGCCGAGUCGGAAUCGUUUGAAGUCUAUCAAGCUUUGUGGCCGUCGAGGUAUUCGUCUUGUUCCGGUUCUUUUCGCCUGCUUCAGGUACACAUUUAAGCUCUAUUGUUUGUGAAGUUGGAUUUGCAGAAUGAAAUGAAAAGCAGUAGUUUGAAGUGUAGUAUCAGCUUAUUUGUGAUUCAUCUGUAUUGCUUUUGGAUAUUGUGUUUCUUUUAGUAGCCUGAUGUGGUUUAUUGUCCAGUUAAGUUCUGGUUUGGAUAAGAAGCUUUGCAAUUAUAUUUAAUUGGGUAGUGUCAUGAAAAUUGAGGGGAAACAACUUGUUUAGUCAUCAGUAGUUUAGACUUUGCACUCAAUCAUGAUUUUAUAUAAUGUGUGCUAGUUAAGGACCGUGAUUCCGUUGGGUUGAGUGUGAGUCUGGCUGUAUGGAGUGCAUUUUCAUAGCUAUAAGUCCUAUGCUUAUCAAUUCACUUAUUCAUGCUAUUAGCCCAAUGAAUCUAGUUUCAGCCGUCUUUCGAUUAACUAUGUGUUCUGGAUUCGCUUAUAUAUAGCAGGAAUACAGUCCUACUAACUUUCAGGAAUUUGAAACUUAGUUUUCCCCCUUGUUCAUGUAAAGACAUGUUGAAUUUUAAAAGGAUUUUCAAAUGGA
Long non-coding RNA from Nicotiana tabacum (common tobacco), 1001 nucleotides. RefSeq lists it as uncharacterized. Lineage: Eukaryota; Viridiplantae; Streptophyta; Magnoliopsida; Solanales; Solanaceae. The record is from RefSeq and is a predicted model, not a curated record.